This 440-nucleotide ribosomal RNA is filed under the name uncultured bacterium. RNAcentral's name for it is "partial 16S ribosomal RNA". It matches the Rfam family "Bacterial small subunit ribosomal RNA", at positions 338 to 795 of the family's 1533-position model. The record is from RNAcentral.
CCUACGGGUGGCAGCAGUGGGGAAUAUUGCACAAUGGGGGGAACCCUGAUGCAGCGACGCCGCGUGAGUGAAGAAGUAUCUCGGUACGUAAAGCUCUAUCAGCAGGGAAGAAAAUGACGGUACCUGACUAAGAAGCCCCGGCUAACUACGUGCCAGCAGCCGCGGUAAUACGUAGGGGGCAAGCGUUAUCCGGAUUUACUGGGUGUAAAGGGAGCGUAGACGGCACGGCAAGUCCGGAGUGAACGGCCAAGGCUUAACCAUGGGACUGCUCUGGAAACUGUGGAGCUUGAGUGCGGGAGGGGCAGGCGGAAUUCGUAGUGUAGCGGUGAAAUGCGUAGAUAUUAGGAGGAACACCGGCGGCGAAGGCGGCCUGCUGGAGCGUAACUGACGUUGAGGCUCGAAGGCGUGGGGAGCAAACAGGAUUAGAUACCCUAGUAGUC